CUCAGGAUGAACGCUGGCUGUGUGCCUAAUACAUGCAUGUCGAACGAAGCACUUGUGCUUAGUGGCGAAUGGGUGAGUAACACGUACUUAAUCUGCCCUCAAGUCUGGGACAACAGUUGGAAACGACUGCUAAUACCGGAUAUGUACUACUUCCGCAUGGAAGUUUUAUAAAAGGAGCGUUUGCUCCGCUAGAGGAUGAGAGUGCGCCAUAUUAGCUAGUUGGUAGGGUAAAGGCCUACCAAGGCGAUGAUAUGUAGCGGGGUCGAGAGGCUGAACCGCCACACUGGGACUGAGAUACGGCCCAGACUCCGUACGGGAGCAGCAGUAGGGAACUAUUCCACAAUGAACGAAAGUUUGAUGGAGCGACACAGCGUGCAGGAUGAAGGUCUUCGGAUCGUAAACUGCUGUUAUAAGAGAAGACAAGUCUAAUAGGAAAUGACUUAAGCCCGUGACGGUACCUUAUCAGAAACGCACCGGCAAACUAGUGUACCG
RNAcentral lists this ribosomal RNA (492 nucleotides) under uncultured bacterium. RNAcentral's name for it is "bacterial SSU rRNA". It matches the Rfam family "Bacterial small subunit ribosomal RNA", at positions 23 to 510 of the family's 1533-position model. The record is from RNAcentral.